AGCGAACGUUAGCGGCGCGCCUAACACAUGCAAGUCGCACGGAGUAGCAAUACUCAGUGGCGCACGGGUGCGUAACACGUAGAUAACCUGCCCUUAAGAGGGGGAUAACGUUCCGAAAGGAGCGCUAAUACCGCAUAAUGCCAGAGAUGGAGAAAGGCUGGGACAGCAAUGCCAGCCGCUUUUGGAGGGGUCUGCGGCCCAUCAGCUAGUUGGUAAGGUAAUGGCUUACCAAGGCAAAGACGGGUAGCUGGUCUGAGAGGAUGAUCAGCCACACUGGUACUGGAACACGGACCAGACUCCUACGGGAGGCAGCAGUGGGGAAUCUUGGUCAAUGGGCGCAAGCCUGAACCAGCGACGCCGCGUGAGUGAUGAAGGCCUUCGGGUUGUAAAGCUCUGUGGGGAGGGACGAAAGACUGAGGUCUAAUAGGCUUCAGGUUGACGGUACCUCCUUAGCAAGCACCGGCUAACUCUGUGCCAGCCGCCGCCGUAAAAC
This 493-nucleotide ribosomal RNA is filed under the name uncultured bacterium. Its description in RNAcentral is "bacterial SSU rRNA". It matches the Rfam family "Bacterial small subunit ribosomal RNA", at positions 29 to 526 of the family's 1533-position model. The record is from RNAcentral.